AGGCUUUGGAGCUUUGAAGGGAAAUUGUUGUUUCAUUCUCGUCUGUUCAGCUGCUCAGAGGUUCUGAAUCUGCAAAUUUCUUUCAUUAGCACUAGUUUCUGCUGUGUUGUUCCUGCUCCAUGUUGCUGGCAUCACAUUUAAAACGAUACUUUUUCACAAAACAACAGUUGUUUUAAGUUUCAUAUGUUUUCUUUGCACAGUUUUCUAUAAAAAAGAUGGUUAAAGUGAAAGCCAGGCGUAAAAUUGAUUGAGGGUCGAACAUACUGUAACACCGAGUUAGACACCCCCUCGAGAGAUGAACGUUGCCGACCGCUUGCUUCUCUAGUUAUACCAACUUCAGCAACAACCGCGUGAUAGCAAUACACAGCGGUCUGAGGAGCCAUAAACAAACCUCAACCAAAACGCCACUCUAUAGCCACAAGUAAUACUCAGAACAGCGCCUAACUUCAUCAACAAUGUUCUUCUUUGAGCUGCGUCACCCCGCAGCAGUCUGUAAUGGACUGGCCUGAGGUCUCACUACAAACAAGUGGCUGCUGGAAGAGUGUAGGUGAGUUGUGUUUAGUCUCUUUGCUGAAGAAAUCAGGCAAAGUUAAAAAGAUGUUUGGUGGCUAGUGCUGUGGCUGGGACCCAAAAUGUACUGCUGAUGAAGUUAGGUGGUUGAGGUUUGUUUAUGGCUCCUCAGACCACUGUGUAUUGUUAUCUGUGGUCAUUACUAAAAUUGGUAUAACUGGAGAAGCAAGCGGUCGACAACAUUCAUCUCUCGAGGGGGUGUCUAACUCGUUGUUACGGUGUGUUUGACCCUAAAUUAAUUUUAUGCAGGAAUAAGAAAUAUCCCUUUAAGUUUUAUAUGUUGUCUUUGCACAGUUUUCUAUAAAAGAGAAGGUUAAAAUAAUUUACAAACCAUCAAAAUCCUAUUCAUAUUUACAUUUUACAGAUUGCCCAAUUUGUUUUGGAAUUGGGGUUUUGUAAUAAGUCAUGUAGAGCCAUUAAUCAAACAGCUCAUCAUUAAAUAAUACAUGAGUAUUCAUAACUACAGUGUCUGGUAUUGUACAGUACAUCUGACAAAUACUUUGAGAAAAAAUCCAGUCAUAUUUGAGAUAAGCUUGUUAAAACCAAGUUCUCUUCCUGUGCCUCAACAAGGUCACUCUACUUUCCUCUGACUUUCUACAAGCUACCUGCUCUGCUGCCUGACUCUGUUUACAGAGCAAUAAGCUUAUACCAUAAAAGUUUAAUAAAGUGAGGUUUCACCUGCGCAGGAGCUGUGGUUAACUUUUCAAGAUGCAGCGGCUGUCUUCUUUUCAAAAACCUCAGUCAUCUGUAGGCAUAUGAUGCACUUUCUGACAUCAAAGUAUUUACAGUGUCGUAAGAGAUAUCCGUGAUGGAUACGACUCAUACGUCACUUACAUACAAGUUCAGCUGCGGCCAAGUUUUGUCUGUUCAAGGCUUUCUGCAGCACAGCUCACCUUUGGCGUAGGUAGUACGCAGCACUACUCAGAGGGGUGCUUUGGCUUUCCAUUGUGGUGUUGCAGAAUUAGUCAUGCGCGCACAAUGUGUUGGAUGGUCUAGUGAAUGGAUGCUGAAAGAAAUGAUAAAGAUGUGAUACAGGGGAGCGUACAGGAAGCAUCAUUGAAUUUCAUCCUAUCCAGCCAUCCAUCUACUCCUGGAAAUUGCAUGGCACUUUUGUUUUCCUCUCAAACUUGUUUUCUUGACAUUUGCCAUUUGGAGUUGGAUUUGUCAAACGUAUCAAAGAAAGCCGCUAUCUGUUGGUCAGAGCUGUCAGAUUGUGAUUCAUGUUGCAUUGUGGUUAAUAGAUCGUCAGGCCCUUGUUUCCCCCUCACUGCAAUUCAGAGUGAGUACCAACAAUUAGUGAGUCAUAGUGGUGGAAAAGUCACAAGCUAGGACAGACGGAGGCUUUAACCACAUGUUUGAGCUCUGGUUUUAUAUUGUUCAGCAGGUUUAACUCUAUGUCACGAUGAUAAGGAUCCACAAAGAAGACUGGGCUGCAUCCUCGCAUCUGACUCACUAUGUUAAUUAUCGCCACCUUUAUGUCUCGUUCUGUUGCUAUUUCCCAUCAUAUUUUCAAUUACUCAGACUCGACAUCAAUGUAGUUAAAUACACACUGAUGCAUCAUCAGAUUUACACAACAGGUUCUUAUGAGUAUCACCCUGAAACCAUUGAAUGAACCUGUUGCUUACACUGGGUGGCAGUAUGCAUUCAUUUUUACAUCACAGCUAAGAGACUAAUUAAUCUACAAUGAGGAGCGCUACAUUUCAACAUGUGUUUGAACAUCCCCUCCAGCGAUGUUCACACAGAUAAUCCCCAUGCUGCCAAUAUGUGAAAAAUCUGGAAGCCUGGAGUGCAUGACGCUCUCCUGCACAGAGAUAUGUGGAAUGUGAGACUUAAAGAAAGCUAGUUUGACACGUUCUUGCACAUAUCUUCUCAUUUAAUUUAGAGGCAUGCUAACAAGAGAGCUUACCUGAGUAGAUUGCAAUAAUAACAAAACAUUUUAUUUGUAUAGUGCUUUUUGCAGGAGACUUUACAGAAAGUUAAACAACAAAAAUACAAUGAGGCAAAGAUUAAGAGUAACAAGCUAAAAAUAAGAUUAAAUCGAAUAAAAGAAUACAAGUGGGAGGGGCAGAUGUGAGGGGUGGGAUAAUGGUGAGUUGGGGGGGUCAGGUAACAAAAGCGAGUAUGAAAAGGUGGGUUUUGAGGGCAGAUUUGAAGCUGAUGAGGUCCGGGCAUUCACAGAUGUGUUUAGGGAGGGAGUUCCAGAGGGUGGGAGCAGAGACGUUGAAGGCCCGGUCCGCCAUGGUUCGGUGCUAGGUUUUGGCGAGGGUGAGAGGAGGUUUGCGUCAGCUGGUUCGGGGUGUGGCGGACAAUGAGGUCAGACAGGUAGGGGGAGGCCAGGUGGUGGAGGGACUUACAGGUGAGGAGGAGAAUCUUGAAUUGAAUUGACGGAGGACAGGGGUGAUGUGGUCAUAUGGGCGGGUGCGGGUGAGAAGUCUGGCGGCGGAGUUCUGAAUGUGUUGAAGUUUGUUGAGGGAGGUGGAGGCGAGACCGUAGAAGAGGCUAUUGCAGUAGCCCAUUCUGGUGGUGAUGAAAGCGUGUAUUAAGGUUUCGGCAGCAGAUGGGGAGAGAAAGGGGCGGAGUCUUGCAAUGCUUUUCAGGUGAAGGAAGGCGGAGCGGGCAAGUUAGGAGAUAUGAUGGUCAAAAGUGAGGUCAGGGUUGAGAUGGACUCCAAGGUUGCGGACGAGUAAAGAGGGGGUGAUAUGGGAUUGGUCAACAUGGAUGGAGAUGUCUGAGGUGGAUUAUGCACUCUUGCUUGCAUAAAAACAAAUUAUUAUUAGCGAAUUAAUUGACUGACUCAAUUGACUAAGAUUUAAUAUACAACACAUUUUAAAUUUGGAUUCUGCAGCUUCACCCUCAUUAACAGAGUCCCUGUUGAAACAGCUGGUUUCACCUCACUUUGAGUAAUCAAUCCUUCUUUUAGAGCAUUUUGGUGCAUAUUGAUUUUAUAAUGCUGUAAUAGACCAUUAAUAAUAAUAAUACAUUUUAUAUUGAUUUAUUGGAGUGAUAUUUGAAGAUUCUGCUUACGUCAGAAGUGUAAGUAUAUUUAAGUGAAAACUUUUUUUUUUCUGUUGAACUGACUGUCUUGCACACACACACGUCUAGCCAGUCUAAAAGACAGCUGUCCCCAUGGAAACAGGUUUCCUGAGCUCCAUAUACAGAUUUCCUGAUAGAGAGGGAGGAGAUAGAGGGAGUGAGGGCAUUAGUCAAAAUUUGAGUUGCAUAUUAUAAUGCCUCACUGUUAAUAUGCAGUCAUUGUACUAAGUGCACAUACAGCACACACACAGAGAGUUUUCAGAUGCCAUUAGAUGCUGCAGUUUCACCUGCAUGUGUGUUGCCAAGCAAUUAUGACUCACCUGACAGCUGAACACAGCCAAGGUGUUUUCUGUUCUAUUAGUUUUCCUUGUGUAUGAACAUGAACUAAGAGGGAGGAUAAAUGAAAGCAGCCAUUUCACCAUAAGAAUGACUCAACCUUUUCUGUGGAUGCAACUACUCCCUGCCACAGGAAGGAAACAUGUACAAAUAAGGCAAGGUCAGCUGCAUACUAUUUGGCGGAAAGAAAUCUCUCCCACAGCUGUUGAUAAUGGAUGUGAGGGUCUCUAAAAUUUCAUUCACAGAAAGGGUUUUGUCCCGUGUACUAUCUUGAGGUGGGUCACGGGUUGCAUCACAGACAUGAUAACCCCAGUGCCACAUCCUUACAAAGGCCCUAUCAGUGAUGCAUGUGCCACCGGUGGGUCUCUGCGACACAGUCCUACAAUAGUUUUAUUUCUGGUGCACUCAUAAUGGCUCUGUGUAAACUAUGAAUAGAGAACUCGGAGGAUACUGGGCGUGCAUUAGACGCAAACAUCUUAGCAGAGGCUUUGAGGAACAAUGCUUCUCCCACGUUGGCUAAAUUGUUAGUUACACUGACCAGAAAUAGUCCCUUAAAUCCACCCCCAAGAAUUACACAUUGCUGCUGGUGGUGUUUAGCCAGUGCCUCAUUUUCAACGCAUGUAUUUAUGGAAACUGUGGUCUAAAACAGGGCUUUAUUUUUAUUCCAAGGCCUGCAAUAUUUGACUAAUAGGUUUAGAAUUAAAAAAGGGGAAAAAAAGUUUAUUUCAAUCCUUGUUUGAGACUGGUUUGCGUCUUAGUUGCUGCCAAGUAAGAGCUGACUGUUACACAAGUGCUGCUGAAAAAAAAAUCCCAUGUUCUGGUGCGGUUGUUUGAUGUCACUCCAGCAACAAGGACUUUUUUGUGUAGAAAAGGUUGAAAGUCAAAUGUGUCGUAAUGACCUUUUAUUAACAGAGCUUAGUUUAGCUAUGUUUUUCAUAACACUAUACAUACAUACAUACAGUCCCUCCUAUGACCAUGAAUCACAGCUCGCUUCUUUUACUCAUCUUCGGCUUAGGAUGUAGAGACCUUGAGCAGAAACACGCCUUUACUCAGGUAGAGCUGUUAUAACGUAGAUGAGUCCCCGCCGUGUUCAGCUACAGUCAAACCAAGUCAAGCCAUACCAGCAUAUAAUGGAAGUUAAAGCCCCAGACAGAAGUGAAAAGGACGUUGCCAUUAUCAGCAGAAAAUUAUUGCCAUUAUUGUCUUGUAAUUAGAAGAGGUUCACCUGAUGAUUAAGCCUCUAAACACUUUCAUUAUAAACAUGAACAUCAACUGUGACUCAAAGAAGAGGCGGAGCUCUUUAGUUAGUGAGUGGAGGUUCACAUGGCUCUGUUUUGAUGCUUUAUAAGACCUACUGUAUGGGGAUAUCCCAGUAUGACAUCCUUAUAUCAGGCAAGAAAUUACACCAGCAUUAUUGUAGACAAUGGGAUAUAAUAUGAUAUGAUGCGAUACAGAACUGGGAGAUAAUAAUGCCAAGUUACUCAUGCCUUUGUAUUUCGAUUCAAACAGUGCUAAUCUUAAAGGGAUAUUCCGGCAUAAAAUUAAGUUGGGGUCAAACACACCGCAACACCAAGUUAGACACCCCUGCUCUAAGGCGAGUCCAUCGACUGCAGCGGGGUGACGCAGCUCAAGGAAGAACAUUGAUGAUCAUUUCUUGAUCAUUUCUUUGAAGUAAUAAUCAUCAUAUUAAUCACUUUUCACUGCAGACGCGGUAGUUCUUUGGCCUUAGCGUCUCGGUCUGAUUGCAUUUCUAUAAAGAAAUGAUCAUAAAUGUUCUUUUUGAGCUGCGUCACCCCGCUGUAGUCGAUGGACUCGCCUGGAGAUCUAUACAAACAAGCGGCUGCUGGAAGAGAGUGGGUGAGUUGUGUUUAUUGUCUUUGCUUAAGAAAUCAGGCAAAGUUACAAGAUGUUUGGUGGCUAGUACUAUGGCUGGGACCC
This is a non-coding RNA of Xyrichtys novacula (pearly razorfish), 5877 nucleotides long. The record is from the annotation of a GenBank genome assembly. Lineage: Eukaryota; Metazoa; Chordata; Actinopteri; Labriformes; Labridae.